CCUACGGGAGGCAGCAGUGGGGGAUAUUGCACAAUGGGGGGAACCCUGAUGCAGCGACGCCGCGUGGGUGAAGAAGCGCCUCGGCGCGUAAAGCCCUGUCAGCAGGGAAGAAAAUGACGGUACCUGAAGAAGAAGCCCCGGCUAACUACGUGCCAGCAGCCGCGGUAAUCCGUAGGGGGCACGCGUUCUCCGGAUUUACUGGGUGUAAAGGGGGCGCAGCCGGCGAUGCAAGCCAGGAGUGAAAGCCCGGGGCUCAACCCCGGGACUGCUCUUGGAACUGCGUGGCGGGAGUGCAGGAGGGGCAGGCGGAAUGCCUGGUGUAGCGGUGAAAUGCGUAGAUAUCAGGAGGAACACCGGUGGCGAAGGCGGCCUGCUGGACUGCAACUGACGUUGAGGCCCGAAAGCGUGGGGAGCAAACAGGAUUAGAUACCCGUGUAGUC
This 440-nucleotide ribosomal RNA is filed under the name uncultured bacterium. RNAcentral describes it as "partial 16S ribosomal RNA". It matches the Rfam family "Bacterial small subunit ribosomal RNA", at positions 338 to 795 of the family's 1533-position model. The record is from RNAcentral.